UACGUAGGGUCCAAGCGUUAUCCGGAAUCACUGGGCGUAAAGCGUGCGUAGGCGGGAGUCUAAGUGAGACGUUAAAUCGUGUGGCUCAACCAUAUCGAUGCGUCUCAUACUGGGCACCUAGAGGAAGGCAGAGGCAAGUGGAACUGGUAGUGUAGCAGUGAAAUGCGUAGAGAUUACCAAGAACACCAAUGGCGAAGGCAGCUUGCUGGGCCUUUUCUGACGCUGAGGUACGAAAGCGUGGGGAGCGAACAGG
RNAcentral lists this ribosomal RNA (253 nucleotides) under uncultured prokaryote. RNAcentral's name for it is "partial 16S ribosomal RNA". It matches the Rfam family "Bacterial small subunit ribosomal RNA", at positions 524 to 776 of the family's 1533-position model. The record is from RNAcentral.